This 434-nucleotide ribosomal RNA is filed under the name uncultured Oscillospiraceae bacterium. RNAcentral describes it as "partial 16S ribosomal RNA". It matches the Rfam family "Bacterial small subunit ribosomal RNA", at positions 341 to 792 of the family's 1533-position model. The record is from RNAcentral. Lineage: Bacteria; Bacillati; Bacillota; Clostridia; Eubacteriales; Oscillospiraceae.
ACGGGAGGCAGCAGUGGGGAAUAUUGGGCAAUGGGCGAAAGCCUGACCCAGCGACGCCGCGUGAGGGAAGACGAUCCUCGGAUUGUAAACCUCUUUUAUAAGGGACGAUAGUGACGGUACCUUAUGAAUAAGCCACGGCUAACUACGUGCCAGCAGCCGCGGUAAUACGUAGGUGGCGAGCGUUAUCCGGAUUUACUGGGUGUAAAGGGUGUGUAGGCGGGACUGCAAGUCAGAUGUGAAAAUCAUGGGCUCAACUCAUGACCUGCAUUUGAAACUGUGGUUCUUGAGGGUCGGAGAGGUAACUGGAAUUCCUGGUGUAGCGGUGAAAUGCGUAGAUAUCAGGAGGAACACCGGUGGCGAAGGCGGGUUACUGGACGAUUACUGACGCUGAGACACGAAAGCGUGGGGAGCAAACAGGAUUAGAUACCCUGGUA